This is a long non-coding RNA of Lycium ferocissimum, 1226 nucleotides long. RefSeq lists it as uncharacterized. The record is from RefSeq and is a predicted model, not a curated record. The transcript has 3 exons. NCBI's taxonomy places the organism in Eukaryota, Viridiplantae, Streptophyta, Magnoliopsida, Solanales, Solanaceae.
CACUACAAGAAAUUUGACUUGUAACGACGACCUUUUAACGAAGGGACAUGAAUCCAGUCAUUAUAACUAAACUUUUAGCGACUAAAAUUUUAUCCAGUCGCCAAAGUGGAUUUUUGGCUUAGCAUUAGCGAAGGGUAUGAUGUCCGGCCGUAAAUACUGAGGAAUCCGGUCGUUAAUAAUAAUAAUUUGGCGGAAGUAUCCCAAAAGAAGUGCGCCAAACACCCUAUGCAAUAUUAGGUAUCCUUUUUUUGUUUUUUUCUUUUUUCUCCCCACUCAAAUAAUUAACGCUCCCCAUUUCCCCUUCCCAUGUAUAUAAUAAUAAAAGAAAUCCCUAAUCCCCAACCUGCAAAGAGACGUUACUGCAAUUGCUUCGCCAACACCCUCAACAAAAUUUGGUUACCUCUGGUAGAUGAGUUUGACUUGGUGGCGGUGGAGAGUGGGUUGAACCACCAAAAGCAAAAGCCCUAGCCUGCGUCCAACAAGGUGUCAAUAUUUUCGUAAAAUUGUCUUCUUUCUCUUUUAGGAUUUGAUUGAUUUCGACAGUUAUUUUCUAUUCGUAAUUCCAAUUCGCAGUAGUGAUGCUUAGAUUUUGAUUUUGCUCGUAUGCUAUUCUGAGGGUAAUAUAUUUGAGCAUAAAUUGUGAAGAAUUGUACUCUUUUUUUUUUUUUUUUUUUUGUUGCGAUUUAGCGGAAGAUGUGAGGCCAAUACAUAUGAGAAAUGUUAAGCGCCUGAUUUUUGAAGAAAAUUUGAAUUUGUGAAAUUGGAGACGCUUAGAGGGUGUUGGUUUCUAACAGAAGUUGGUGUACAUAGUAAAUUUUUAUCUACUGCUUGUCAGAGCAAUUGUGGUUGAAUAUUUCGGGUUCAAUGGAGUAACUGCAGUCACUAGUGCGCUUAUCUUUGCAAUGGGCUCAUAUUUUAUCAAGAAUUUGAAGUUUGAAGAACCUGUCUAUGAACAAAGUGCAGAGCAAGUAUAAGCAAACCGAAACUAUUAAAGAACAAGUUGACAGGAGAGACAUGCUUUCUAUUUUGUUCGGAGGUGUUUAAAGAUUUUCCUAUUUGUACAUGCUACAAUAUUUGUACUUCUUCAAAGGAGCUGCUAAAUAUAAUGUCAGAAAAGUUGGAUGGGUCUAUAUUUUUGUAAUGUCAUGAUUUAUUUCGUUGUAAUUAAAUAUGAAAUUCAGAUGGCUAUCGAUUAUUUUAUAUAUUGAGUUGAUUUUAUGUACUAA